GCCAUAGUAUGUAUUUAUUGAAAAACAUUUGAGUAUUAAGUGGGUCCGUGCACUUCAAACCUGUGUUUUUCAAGGGUCAACUGUGUAU
Molecule: microRNA precursor, 88 nt
Filed under: Tursiops truncatus (common bottlenose dolphin)
Lineage: Eukaryota; Metazoa; Chordata; Mammalia; Artiodactyla; Delphinidae
Description: miRNA (ENSTTRG00000022861.1)
Source: RNAcentral